Molecule: ribosomal RNA, 368 nt
Filed under: uncultured eukaryote
Lineage: Eukaryota
Description: partial 18S ribosomal RNA
Rfam family: Eukaryotic small subunit ribosomal RNA
Source: RNAcentral
CCCUUAGAUAUCUUGGAAUGCACGCGGGAUACAAUAAUUAAGAUAAUAAGUUUAUUUUCUUUUGGCUCUUCUUUCUCUUCGGGGAUCGAUGUUCGCCAAGAAAACCUGUUUCGAAAGGAAUGGGAAAUCUCAAAAUCUUAAUUUUGACAAGGAUUGUCUCUUGUAACAGAGGCAUGAAAGAGGAAUACCUAGUAGGCGUGAGUCAACACCUCGCACCGAUUAAGUCCCUGCUUUUUGUACACACCGCCCGUCGCAUCAAGGAACAUGAUUGAAGUCAUGAAGCUUACGGAUAAUGUGUGUUUUUCUUCGGGAAAAUUGAUUAAAAGUAAACUGAAUGGUUUUAAUCUUACCAUGAUGAAGUCGUANCA